RNAcentral lists this ribosomal RNA (324 nucleotides) under Cercomonas sp. RNAcentral describes it as "SSU rRNA". It matches the Rfam family "Eukaryotic small subunit ribosomal RNA", at positions 629 to 955 of the family's 1831-position model. The record is from RNAcentral. Lineage: Eukaryota; Cercozoa; Cercomonadida; Cercomonadidae.
GAUUUCUGGUUCGGCGUACUUGGCCCGCUCCGGUUUACGGGGUUGUGUGCCGGUGUGCGCCAUCCAUCCUUCGAGAAAUCAUUUCUGCCCUUCACUGGGUUGGAAGUGGAAUCUCGAUCUUUUACUUUGAAAAAAUUAGAGUGUUUAAAGCAGGCUUGCGGCUAUGAAUACAUUAGCAUGGAAUAAUAAUCUAGGACUUCGGUUCUAUUUUGUUGGUUUCUAUAACUGAAGUAAUGAUUGAUAGGGAUAGUUGGGGGUGCUAGUAUUGGCCGGCCAGAGGUGAAAUUCUUGGAUUCGGUCAAGACUAACUUAUGCGAAAGCAUU